AAUAAAAUUAUUAAAAAAAUUGAAUAUUUUUAUAAUAAUUUAAACUAUUUAAAGUAUAUUAAAAAUUCAUAAUAACAGCUCACAGUAUUAAUUUUAAAUAUUAAAAUAUUUUUAAUAGUUAAUUUCAUAUAUUAUAUUAAUAUUUUUAAAAUUUAUAGACAUAAUUUCCAAAAAACAAUUUUAAAUUUGCAAAACACAAAUAAUCUUAGAAAUUUAAAAAAUCAUAUUAAAAAAUAUUUUUAUUA
Molecule: transfer RNA, 245 nt
Filed under: Pneumocystis jirovecii
Lineage: Eukaryota; Fungi; Ascomycota; Pneumocystomycetes; Pneumocystales; Pneumocystaceae
Description: tRNA-Pseudo(TTT)
Source: RNAcentral